Non-coding RNA from Microcebus murinus (gray mouse lemur), 629 nucleotides. NCBI's taxonomy places the organism in Eukaryota, Metazoa, Chordata, Mammalia, Primates, Cheirogaleidae. The record is from RefSeq and is a predicted model, not a curated record.
CCGAGGCCAGGAGGAGCAGAGUGUCAAAUGCAGUGGCAUCGUGAGCUGCGUGUGACUGCGCUCAGCUCUCCCUUCCUGCAACGCAACAGAGGCCUUGCCUGGGGUCCGAACUGGGUCGUGAAGAGGAAACGGGCAUCACAAGGCGGGUCACGUGGACAAAGACUUAGCGGAAGGAACUCAAGUCACUGUGUUCACAGAACUUAAAGUAGACAGAUUUUUAUUGGGGCUUAAAUUGCAAAGAAGUGAGCCCUGGGAAUACAAGCAUCAAAUGAGGACACCAAUCCACUCUGUUGUCAGAGGCAGCCAGAGGUCCUUUUGUAUGCAGUCUGGCCACAUGCAAGUCACAAGUCAACUUGUAUCCUCCAACUGUGGCAACAAUUAUCUUCUAAGUAAAUCAGAAAUUUCAGAUGCAUACUCCAUAAAAAGAAAAUCUCUUUUCAAAGGGAACACAGAGGGCCAACUGAAAAACAAUAUUAUGACUGGCUAAACAAUAAAUACACAGAAACAAGUGGGGAUGGUCACUGAAGCAUCGUCAUACUGAAGACCUGGAAAUCACCUAAAUGUCCAACAACGGGACAGCGAAGAAAUAGAAGUAUGCACAUGCAGUAAAAUACUAUACGGCAGUUAAA